UAAUGAUUGUUUUAAAAUAGGAUCUUCUGUAAUCCAGGCUAACCUCAAAUUCAAUAGUUAAGGAUAACUGUGAAUGCUUGAUAUUUCUGCCUCAGUAUCCUGGGUUCCAAGAUUACAGACCCUCCAUAUCACACUCAUGAAAUCUUUAAAAAAAUUUUAUUAUUACAUGCAUAUGACAAAUGUGUAUACAACCUACUGAUUUUAUUCAGUCUUGCUUGUAUGCUCAUGUGUCCAUGAGCUGUCUGGAUGUUUCUAGGCAAUGAUGCUGUCAGCAUUGUUUGCCUUGAUAACAGCGAAUGUGUGAGCAUUGAACAAGAUUAGGGAACUGCCCAGAGUCAAACAAAUGAACAAAACCAACAACAACAAACAAAGAAACAGAUAAAAUGAAAAAAGUUGACUUUAAGGAUGCCUUUUAUCAAUUGACUUUCUAUGUUAACAUUAAUGUACAUGUGAUUUUUAUCUAGAAUUUGUGAACAACAACAAAAAAAAAAACCCUUAAAGAAUUUGGUCCUUCUACUGAUCCUUUUGCAAGGCUGAUUAACAGAUUACAACCUCAAUGACUGUAGGGAGUUUAGAAUGUUGCAAGUACAGAGCCAAAUUACCUUGUGCUAUUUUCAGCCCCCUAAGUAGCCAAUUAUUGUCUUGGGCUGUGUGUGAGAUAAUAUCUUGGUGAAUAUUAUGUAAAUCCAUUGGAAUAUAGAGAAAACACCUAGCUCCCACCAAGCGGAACUAAGAAUAAUACCGGAUAGUAUAUGAGGCCUGUAGCAGAGACAUUUCCUCUUCACUUUAAUUCACAUAACUAAUGUCUCUACCAAAACAUGUUAGAAGUGACUGACAUGACUUCCUUUGCUCUGUUACUGUAAAACCUCAUCCAACUCUUGCUGUGUUGGAACAUAGAAUUUAGUGUCACGUGAAUCUGUGUUCACAGGCUAUAGUGACUCAUGUUUGACUCUAAAAUAAACUAUCUCUUAUCCUCUUUGAGAUGAGAGUUAUGAUUUUUACAUCAACAACUUCUUGGAUCUUGGUAUCUAUUAUUGUCCCCAAACCUUACCUGUGAAGAGUCAUUCACCAUCUCUUCAGUCAUCCUGCUUGCAGAGCAAACAAGGACAAGACUCCACAGGAUGAAGGAUGAGUCCUUCCUCAUCACCCAAAUACUAUCUGAUGGUGACUGCAGAAGUGACCUUUGCCAACAAAAUUUCAAAACAACUGAGGCAAUGACCAAGCUCUGAAGCCCAGGAUGUGUGAUCCAACGUAAAACUUUGUGUUACAAUCUGUCAUCCUGGGAAGCCAGGGCAGGAGCACAGGUAGGAAGCUGGAAGCAAGAACUGAAGCAAACCAUAUAAAGGACUGCUGCUUACUGAUUUGUUUCCUCUGGUCUGCUCAGUUGCCUUUCUUAUUCAUCACAGGCCCACCUACCCAGGUCUGCAGUUUGUGUAAAGCAGACAAAAGCUUAUGACAGUAUCCAAAAAUCAUUUUUUUUAAAAAGUUGCUGCCUGAAAAAUGAAGAGAAUAACAAAUCCCUGCAAAACCUAGAAUGAAGAGCUUGGUACUGUGUCACAGAGUGCAAGAAACAGUUGAGACCUUCACAACAAAGUAACCAAGAAUUUAAUGGGAAAAACUACAAUAUACAAGUAGAGGAAAUGGCAGGUGCCGAUAAAGGAAAGACUAGGGUCGUUUGUGUAAUGGCUUUUUAUAAAAGGAAACCAUUUUCCAAAUGUAUUAGUCAUUCAGUCUGGUGACUAUUAAAAUCUCCAUUCAAGAACCUCAAGAAAUCAUAAGAAAGUUAAAAGGACAUAAAUAGCUGAAGCAGGCAUGAAGAUUUUAAAAAGCAACUCCAUGGGGAGAAGUAUAGUGACUCAGUAGAUAAAGCAUUGUGUUAUGAGUGUAAGGACAGGAGUCCAAAUCUACAGCACCCUCACAAAAGCCAGGGAGGGCUGGCCUGUAAGGUAAAGGCAGAGAACACCCUACGCACCCCAGGCUAGCUCAGCUGAGUUGGCACAUUCUGAAUGAGAUGCCUUGCCUCAGUAAAUAAAAUAGAGAGUGGUCAAAUUAGGUACCAGACUGACAUCAACUCCUGUCUUCCAUGUGCACACAUGUGUGAACGUGCAUACUCAUACACAUGGUAAACAUGGCUUGGUGAUCAACACUGAGAAUCAUAACUUUAAAUUGUUAAAGUGCCAUAAGAAGAAGUCACAAGAAAAGAUAAAUUAAGUGAUGUAACUGAGGUGAGAGGUCAGAGAAAGACUUCUCUGUGCAAGCAGGUGUAAAGGGGAUGCUCUUCAAAUCAGCAGGAGAGGCCCACUCUACUCCGAGUGUGUUUUAACCAAGAGCAUGAAGAAAAAGUGCAUCUUUAACCCGAGUCAUUCAUAGAGAA
Molecule: long non-coding RNA, 2374 nt
Organism: Mastomys coucha (southern multimammate mouse)
Lineage: Eukaryota; Metazoa; Chordata; Mammalia; Rodentia; Muridae
Exons: 5
Source: RefSeq, a predicted model, not a curated record